GACGUAGGGCGCGAGCGUUGUCCGGAUUUAUUGGGCGUAAAGAGCGUGUAGGCGGCUUUGCAAGUCGGGUGUGAAAGCCCUCAGCUCAACUGAGGAAGUGCGCCCGAAACUGCAGAGCUUGAGUACCGGAGAGGGUGGCGGAAUUCCCCAAGUAGAGGUGAAAUUCGUAGAUAUGGGGAGGAACACCGGUGGCGAAGGCGGCCACCUGGACGGUCACUGACGCUGAGACGCGAAAGCGUGGGGAGCAAACAGG
RNAcentral lists this ribosomal RNA (253 nucleotides) under uncultured bacterium. RNAcentral's name for it is "partial 16S ribosomal RNA". It matches the Rfam family "Bacterial small subunit ribosomal RNA", at positions 524 to 776 of the family's 1533-position model. The record is from RNAcentral.